UAUAAUGCAGUCGAGCGAUGGAUUAAGAGCUUGCUCUUAUGAAGUUAGCGGCGGACGGGUGAGUAACACGUGGGUAACCUGCCCAUAAGACUGGGAUAACUCCGGGAAACCGGGGCUAAUACCGGAUAACAUUUUGAACUGCAUGGUUCGAAAUUGAAAGGCGGCUUCGGCUGUCACUUAUGGAUGGACCCGCGUCGCAUUAGCUAGUUGGUGAGGUAACGGCUCACCAAGGCAACGAUGCGUAGCCGACCUGAGAGGGUGAUCGGCCACACUGGGACUGAGACACGGCCCAGACUCCUACGGGAGGCAGCAGUAGGGAAUCUUCCGCAAUGGACGAAAGUCUGACGGAGCAACGCCGCGUGAGUGAUGAAGGCUUUCGGGUCGUAAAACUCUGUUGUUAGGGAAGAACAAGUGCUAGUUGAAUAAGCUGGCACCUUGACGGUACCUAACCAGAAAGCCACGGCUAACUACGUGCCAGCAGCCGCGGUAAUACGUAGGUGGCAAGCGUUAUCCGGAAUUAUUGGGCGUAAAGCGCGCGCAGGUGGUUUCUUAAGUCUGAUGUGAAAGCCCACGGCUCAACCGUGGAGGGUCAUUGGAAACUGGGAGACUUGAGUGCAGAAGAGGAAAGUGGAAUUCCAUGUGUAGCGG
RNAcentral lists this ribosomal RNA (648 nucleotides) under Bacillus sp. Y147. RNAcentral describes it as "bacterial SSU rRNA". It matches the Rfam family "Bacterial small subunit ribosomal RNA", at positions 52 to 681 of the family's 1533-position model. The record is from RNAcentral. Lineage: Bacteria; Bacillati; Bacillota; Bacilli; Caryophanales; Bacillaceae.